CUUUAAUCUAAAUUCUAAUCGAAUUAGAUGCAUAAUAUAAUGUAAUGUAACUGAAAUAUACAGCCAUGAUUAUACAUAAAAAUGAAUGACCCUCCUUUUUUAAAUUACACUUGCUUAGCUCAGUAGCAGACAGACACACACAGACAUCUCAAACAUAUCUGAAUGGAAAUAGACCUUAAAUGGAAACUGGAGUUUUUCCUUUGCAUCUCAUUCCAUCAUGGACUGUUUCCAACACCGUUUCAUCUCCAUCAACACUGCACUUCCCCACUUUGCUGCUUAUGGUCAUUUGUAAUGUAAGCAGUAGCUAACUGGCUGCUUAUAUCAUCUUUUUGCAGAGAGACCAAUUUUUUGGGGCUGUACGGUCCUGUUAACGUAGAUUAGGGCCCAAAAACCAGUCAUCCAUUUUGGGUGUGGAGUUCGAAGGAUCCUUAGGACAUAUGCUUGUCAUUAUCCAUUGAGGAAAAGCUCUGAGUGAGUGUAAGGGAAAUCCACAAGGCAUAUAUCAGUCAUAGACUGGCGGAACAUUUGCCCUCACACAUCCUUUUUCAAAAUGUACAUUCUCAAUAGCAUCCAAAAACAAAUAAUUGCGGUCACGCCGCCAUCUGAAAUGAAUUGCCAGAUUGCCCUCUUAAUACUGCCUCAUUUCAGAUGAAUUUGUGUUGCUGAGUUAUGCCUGAAACCGGCCUGAGACAGAAAGGGGAUAUCAGCACUUCAUCAGCAUCACAAAAAAAAACUUUCUGUAAAAGAGUUUCAUCAGAUCUGGAUACAUCAUCAUGGGAUGAUUAUGGAUGGACUGGAUUUUUUACUAGUAAUUUGUAAUGAUGCAGUGUGGGAUGAAGCUGACCAUUACAAUUUUAAGGCGUUGUGUGGGCAGAGACUUUAUGAUAUGAAUGAGAGAAAUCAUAACACUCAUUGUGGUGCCUGUAGGUUGUAGUUACAAGAUUAAUUUUUUCAUGUUGUUUACUCAUUGGCUGCACCAGCCAGAAAAAAAUAGAUAUUGUUGGUGUGUAAUUUGAUGUAAAGAAGUACAAUUUAUGAUAAUAUUGUUGUCAGAUUUUUUUUCUUUCCCCAUUCAAGUAAAUGGGAGCUGUACUUGAAUUAAUGGAAAUAGCUGCCUGGAGAUGCCCAAGAUGGCUGCAGAGUGGACUGACUGACUGAAACGGGACUUUGGUCUGGGUUUCUGGGGUGUUUUUAAAGAGAACAGCAACCAUACUGAUGUACUCUAUCAGUUUUGGACUAAAGGCUAAAUCAAAUCAAACAAUUUUGAAGAAACACUGGUGUUAAUUUUUUUUUUAUUGUGAUCUAAUAUGCAACAGUGGUGUAGUUCAUUUAUAUCCUAGGCUUUUUACUUUUACCAAUUGUAUUUAGUCUUCAAAAUUCAUAAAAGUUGUGGUUAUUUGUGAAGAUUAUUAUUAUCAAAUUUUCACCAACAAUAUGUUUUGAUUCAGUUCACAUAUUUAUUGUCAUGAUGCACAUUUUCCGUCUCGUCUAAUCACUGACAAAAUCAAAAACCCUUUGUUAACAAACUUUUUUGUCUGUAAUUUCACGACAAGGUUACCAGUGCUUGUGGCUUGGAGAGAGAUUGUAAGUUUGGAAUUUAUUUUCAGCCGUCAAGUUCACUCUGAAGUCAUGAGCUAAGUGGCCUCAGAGUCUUUCAAGGCUCCGGUUCUGUGACUGUGGAUAUGCUUAGUUUCAUUCACUGAGGUGAUGCUAGACCUGACAGAGGAUGGAGGGUCUUCCAGCCAGUGAAAUGUGCUUCUGCCACUUUUGUCUACUAUGCUCAUAAAGUUCAACCAUAUAUGCGUGGACAGAGGCUCCUUGUGAAAAACAAGAUGGCCAUGCAGAGCUUUGCCAAGAGAAACAUAAGUAGACAGAAAAGCGUGCACAAGCCUGAAGAACAUUCUUCUCUUCAUGGCAGAUCCAUCAUUUUUGAGUUCCACAUGGUUUGUGUCUGAAACGUUAUGCAGUGUAUUAUAAUGUGUUGGGUUUGUUUAACCUUUCUUCUCCCUCUCUGAACCUGAUACGUUCCUUUAUUGCUGAUUGACUUGUCUGAUCUAUUUCUUACAUUUUAUGAGUUGGAGUUAUAAUGCAACUUUCGCAAGCAAUGCCACACAAAAAAAUUGUUAUUAAAAUAAUCUGUGCUUUUACAUACUUGAUAUACUUUGAGAAUCUGUCAAAUGUCGUAUUCAGAAUGUUAUAUUUACAACACAAUGUUACUUUCAUUAAAACAGAGAUUAUUUGUGGUGUUCAUUCACAUUUAUGCAGAGAAUUUGAAGAUACAGAUUGUUCUGUUUGAGCCCACAUACAUAUACAUGUGGUUUUGAUGUCAGCAAGAUUCAGUAUCACUCAAAAUGUAUUAUGCUGAAUAAUUUAGAUGCAUGGAAAUGCAAACUCUCAGCCAAAACAGUUUUCCGUCUUAUUUUUUUUUCCCACUCAAGUAUGUUGUUGUAGAUAGUAAUAUCUGACUUGGCUGUACACAAUGGCAAAACCCAAUGUAACACCUUCUGCUUCAGAAAAGCACAUGUGUCUGAAUCAGUGUUAUGUGAUUCAGAAGUGAGAUUUAACAGUGACUGGUUGCAUAGAUGUAUAUUCUGACAUUUAAUAAACUGUUAUAAUGAAGUGGAGGUCCAUAGGGCUUACAUUUUCCCUGAUACAAAACAUAAAAUGUUUGAUUUUAUUAUUGAAAGUUCUCUAUAUGAGAUAUGGC
This is a long non-coding RNA of Cyprinus carpio carpio, 2707 nucleotides long. Lineage: Eukaryota; Metazoa; Chordata; Actinopteri; Cypriniformes; Cyprinidae. The record is from Ensembl.